GUCCAGAUAGCCAAGCAGUAAGGCAUUGGUCUGCAAAACCAAUCAUCGUGGGUGCAAUUCCCGCUCUGGACUCCA
This 75-nucleotide transfer RNA is filed under the name Nodosilinea foveolarum. RNAcentral's name for it is "tRNA-Cys". It matches the Rfam family "tRNA". Rfam says of the family: Transfer RNA (tRNA) molecules are approximately 80 nucleotides in length. Lineage: Bacteria; Bacillati; Cyanobacteriota; Cyanophyceae; Nodosilineales; Nodosilineaceae. The record is from RNAcentral.